GGCAGGUGAAAAUAUCGAGUGGAGCAGUGAGCAGUCCAGUGGCCAAUCACAGUGAGGAAAAUGCAACCUGAUUACAAAUCAUCCAGAGGGCUGACUGUGAGCAGAAAACACAGAAUUAAUUGCAGGAAAACAAGCCUAAUUGCUCACAGGUACUGCACGUCAGUGGAAACGAGGGGCCCCGCCCAGGGGAGGAGACACCAGGAACACAGGUGCAUCAGACUUACCCAGACCAUGACACCUGCCCUCCUGCUCGGAUACUGAAGGAACAAAUGGCAGCUCUAGUAGGAUCCAACCCACACCAGGAUCGUGUUUGACUUAAGUUUUGGCUCCAGAUCAGAGCUGGUGCUCUACUCCAUCAUCUGCUCUCCUCUCUCUGGUCUGGCCAUUACUGAAAUAGGGAAGGCACGAUUAGAAGAUGCUUGCCGUCUGUGACAAACUAGCCUCCCCGACACAACACCCUGAACCUGCUGCUCCACUCCUCCCCUGCAGCUGAGCCACCAACCACACCCCGCCACAGGAAUAUUUCCCGAAGAAAUGGGCCGGUAUACCUUACUCACCUCCCACAAGACACCCAGAAGAUUGUGACUGAUUGAAAUUCAUAUUGUUCCUCUUGAACCUGAGGUUCAACUAAUAAACUGACUGUCAUCUCCAGUACCUUGGCAUAGACCUACCAAAUGGAAACUGAACUGAAUGUUAGGUUUUUACUUACUUUUAGCACGAAUUUCCAAAGCAUUCCAAAUUAGGCCAAUCUGAUUUUGGUUUUAUUAGUAUUGUGAAUUCAUAGUUAAUAUCAAGUGUAUAAACAGAAAGACUGAUCAUCAAUUCAUUUUGUCUUUUUAAAAGUCCUGCAUGUAAAACCAAAGCAGCAGCUUCCUGUUGUUUACACUUAACUUAAAGCUGAUGAGGCU
Long non-coding RNA from Oreochromis aureus, 908 nucleotides. RefSeq lists it as uncharacterized. NCBI's taxonomy places the organism in Eukaryota, Metazoa, Chordata, Actinopteri, Cichliformes, Cichlidae. The transcript is spliced from 3 exons. The record is from RefSeq and is a predicted model, not a curated record.